GUUGUUUAUUAAAUCUUUAUUAUUGUAGCUACAAUAUAGUGUUUCAAAAUGGUUAAGAAAACUCCAGAUCCUGAAAUUAAAACAUACAUAGAAAAAAAAAUUUUAGUCAAGCUAAAUGGAAAUAGAAAGAUAUCUGGUAUUUUAAGAGGCUAUGAUCCUUUUAUGAAUUUAUCUUUAGAGGCCUGUAACGAAGAAAUAUCUUCCACCGAGCAGAAUUUUCUUGGAACCAUUGUCAUACGCGGUAAUAGUAUUGACUCUAUCGAAUGCUUAGAGCGGAUAUAAGCCUUACAUUAUUUUAAACCUAAAUUGUUGGUCUUAAGGUC
This is a long non-coding RNA of Zophobas morio, 323 nucleotides long. RefSeq lists it as uncharacterized. The transcript has 3 exons. The record is from RefSeq and is a predicted model, not a curated record. NCBI's taxonomy places the organism in Eukaryota, Metazoa, Arthropoda, Insecta, Coleoptera, Tenebrionidae.